This 439-nucleotide ribosomal RNA is filed under the name uncultured bacterium. RNAcentral describes it as "partial 16S ribosomal RNA". It matches the Rfam family "Bacterial small subunit ribosomal RNA", at positions 339 to 795 of the family's 1533-position model. The record is from RNAcentral.
CUACGGGCCGCACCAGUGAGGAAUAUUGCACAAUGGGGGAAACCCUGAUGCAGCAACGCCGCGUGGAGGAUGACGCAUUUCGGUGUGUAAACUCCUUUUAUCAGAGAAGAAAAUGACGGUAUCUGAUGAAUAAGCUCCGGCUAACUCCGUGCCAGCAGCCGCGGUAAUACGGAGGGUGCAAGCGUUAUUCGGAAUCACUGGGCGUAAAGGACGCGUAGGCGGGUUGUUAAGUCAGGUGUGAAAUCCUAUGGCUUAACCAUAGAACUGCACUUGAAACUGGGGACCUAGAGUAUGGGAGGGGGAGGUGGAAUUAGUGGUGUAGGGGUAAAAUCCGUAGAUAUCACUAGGAAUACCGAAAGCGAAGGCGACCUGCUGGGACAUUACUGACGCUGAGGCGUGAAAGCGUGGGGAGCAAACAGGAUUAGAUACCCCAGUAGUC